Drosophila pseudoobscura is the source of this 422-nucleotide long non-coding RNA. RefSeq lists it as uncharacterized. The record is from RefSeq and is a predicted model, not a curated record. The transcript has 2 exons. Lineage: Eukaryota; Metazoa; Arthropoda; Insecta; Diptera; Drosophilidae.
AAAGGAUUAUAAAAUAGGAGAAGUAGUCUAUGAAAAGAAAUUCGGGGAAAGAAAUAAACUUCAAUCCCGAUACAAAAAGCAGAAAAUGUAUGCGAAUAUACUAAUACUGACUUUUGUUAUAUUGACGACUGCGGAAGUAAUUGACUAUACGCAUAGUGACUAUCUAUUGCUCAAAGACGACAGAGACGUUUACACUUAUGAAACAUACGCUGAACUUUUCCAUAUUACUAAUUUGAGUUUUUAUAGAGAGAUAAUUGAUAAAGAAUCCAAAUAUGUCAACAAAUCAAUUAAUUCAGACGAUGAGUGGGAAAUAUCAAUGGACUUAAGUCUAUUAAAAUUAAUGAUUUCAGAAUUAGUUCCAAAACGGAAAGAAAGGGGAAUAAAUGAAUUAGGUACCAUUUGGAAAUGGAUAGCAGGCAGCC